Molecule: ribosomal RNA, 253 nt
Filed under: uncultured bacterium
Lineage: Bacteria
Description: partial 16S ribosomal RNA
Rfam family: Bacterial small subunit ribosomal RNA
Source: RNAcentral
UACGUAGGGACCGAGCGUUGUCCGGAAUCAUUGGGCGUAAAGAGCGCGCAGGCGGUCGAUCAAGUCGAGUGUGAAAGCCCCCGGCUCAACUGGGGAGGGUCAUUCGAUACUGAUCGACUCGAAGGCAGGAGAGGGUAGUGGAAUUCCCGGUGUAGUGGUGAAAUGCGUAGAUAUCGGGAGGAACACCAGUGGCGAAGGCGACUACCUGGCCUGCUCUUGACGCUGAGGCGCGAAAGCUAGGGGAGCAAACGGG